CAACGGCCUUCUAAGCCGUGUGCCAGGAGUUCGAAUCUCUUAAGGCGCA
Non-coding RNA from Clostridium cylindrosporum DSM 605, 49 nucleotides. NCBI's taxonomy places the organism in Bacteria, Bacillati, Bacillota, Clostridia, Eubacteriales, Clostridiaceae. The record is from Rfam.